Molecule: non-coding RNA, 78 nt
Organism: Potamilus streckersoni
Lineage: Eukaryota; Metazoa; Mollusca; Bivalvia; Unionida; Unionidae
Source: the annotation of a GenBank genome assembly
GCUUCGGUGGCCUAGUGGUUAGGGCAUCCGCCUCGGAUGCGUGAGAUCUUGGGUUCCAUCUCCGGCCAAGUCCUACCA